CCAGGGGCAUGCCCAGUACGGCGAGUGAAGCGGCAAAAGCUCAAAUUUGAAAUCCUGCGGGAAUUGUAAUUUGAAGGUUUCGUGGUCUGAGUCGGCCGCGCCCAAGUCCAUUGGAACAUGGCGCCUGGGAGGGUGAGAGCCCCGUCCGGCGCACGCCGACUCUUUGCACCGCGGCUCCGACGAGUCGAGUUGUUUGGGAAUGCAGCUCUAAGUGGGUGGUAAAUUCCAUCUAAAGCUAAAUAUUGGCGAGAGACCGAUAGCGAACAAGUACAGUGAUGGAAAGAUGAAAAGCACUUUGAAAAGAGAGUGAAACAGCACGUGAAAUUGUUGAAAGGGAAGGGCUUGCAAGCAGACACGGUUUUACCGGGCCAGCGUCAAAUAAACGGGGGGGAAAAGGGGGAAAGAAUGUGGCGCGUGCCUUCGGGUUCGCGUGUUAUAGCUUUCUCUAAUACCCCCAUGUUUGUUUGAGGCCUGCGAUUCUAGGACGCUGGCGUAAUGGUUGCAAGCCGCCCGUCUUGAAACACGGACCCAA
RNAcentral lists this ribosomal RNA (532 nucleotides) under Clavispora lusitaniae. RNAcentral's name for it is "eukaryotic LSU rRNA". It matches the Rfam family "Eukaryotic large subunit ribosomal RNA", at positions 65 to 670 of the family's 3401-position model. Lineage: Eukaryota; Fungi; Ascomycota; Pichiomycetes; Serinales; Metschnikowiaceae. The record is from RNAcentral.